UCUUUUUUUUUUUUUUUUAAAUCUCCUUCAAUUUUUUCCUGGUAGCGCACACAAAAAAAAUCAGGAUAUAAAUUAUUGGAAAUUUUUGUACUACUUAAAAACUUUUCUUAACAGUAGCACUACAUGAUGUUUCUCAUCUAUUCUUUGAGUACCUGUAUAUAGUAUUUACCUAGUACUCAAAUAAGCAAUACUUAUUGUGAACUAGAUAUGUAUUGAAGUAGUCAUCAGCAUAUAGUCACUUACUGAUAAAAUGCAAAUUCCAGUUUUGAUACUUAAUGAAAUAGAAAUUUUUUUUCACUGGAAGUAUGACUAAAGAAUGAACUGCUUUGGACUUAUUAAUGUAAAAUAUUUUAAUCUUAAAACAGCACAAUAACACAUUUACAAAGCAUUCUUGUGUCUGAGAGCGUCUAUUUAUAGAUUAAGCGUUAAAUACCAAAAUGGGAAUAUACAUUAAAAGAAAAUGCUUCAUGUUAUAUUUUAUCUAUUUUGCAUUACCUGUCAAGGUUAUACAUUUUGGGGAGGGGAUGAAAAUAUGAUCACACUCAUGAUGAAAUAGCUAGAUUAUGGAUGCAUGCAGCAAGUGCUGGGGUAUUUGCCAUAUUGAAAUAUUUUCUUGCUGGACUUGAUUUAAAUAAAAGUAAUUGUAUUUAGUUUCUAUUCUUUAACAAUAUAUUUAUUUUAUACUUUAAAGACAUUCUGUAAAUCAGUUUCAGAAACUGAUCUAUAUGUGCAUUUCAAAGGGUUGUUAAUGGUUUGCUGCCAGGUUUUUGUGCAAUAAUCUUAAAGAGGUCUCAUUACUUUUCUAGUACUGAUUACAAAUAACAGUGUUAAUUUGAUGCUGAAACCCUUCAAGGAGUGUUUUAGUAAACAAAAAUUCACAAAGAGAACUGAUGAACAUUUGUUCACUGAUGUUCUCUCUUCUGUUUUCUCUCCAGUAUCUUAGUCCCCUGACAAUAUAUAUUAUUACCACUUCUUUCUCCUCCUUGUUCUUGUCUCUGAUCAAGGGCUAAUUCCAAGGGCAGGGGGACCCACAUGAUAGUUCAAAAGAUCUGUUUCAGGGUCUGAUUGUGAAAGAAUGUUUCAUCCUUCACUUGAAAAUGGUGAGAUAGAAGAGGAAGGGUUUUCCUAGUUCCUAACUGGGGUUUAUGUUCUAGAUUUCACUGUCUUGAGUGACAGACUUGAAAAUUGUAACUCACUCCCAGGAUUCUAGUGUCUGGGUUCAUCAUGAUAUUUGAAGCCUGUGUUUCAAGCAUUUCUGUACAACAUGAUGAUUUGUAAUUGCCAUGAAGAGAUUGCACUGUGAAAGGAAUCUCCUUGUUUGUACUUUGGGUGGGAAGGGGUUACAUGUUUUUUUUUCUCAAACCUUGGUAUUCUCUGCCAAGGUGACUAAAGUUAUUUCAUAAAACAUAAUCUCCAUCUGUGGUAAUACAAGUCUAUAUGGCAUUUCACUGUUUCAACCAAAUUGGUAGAAUACAGUUAUUCUGGCUUGGGAGAAAGUUCAAAUACCCAUCCUUUGUUGUUGUUUUCUUUGGGUUUGACUACAAAACUAUAAUACUGUAUGUUCCUUAGUCCCAUAUGUUAAAAGUACAUUGCCCUUUUAUGUGAAUUCAUGAAGGCAAAUAUAAUCUUAUGUAACAGAGAUUAGAACUAAAAACCCCUUGCUUGAAUUUUAGGGUUUCUUGUCUAUGUAACUGAACUUGCUUGAUAAUUGACUGAAAUGUCUACACACACCAUAGUACUGUGAAACUCUUCAAUGAGAUUUACUGUUACUAGCUGGCGAUAUUGUUUAGCAAAACUUUGUCUUUCCCUCUUCCUCAAACAUAUAUAUGUAAGACAUUUUUAAAUCUUGCUAUUGUAUAUCUAGAGACUAAUUUUUUCUUACACUCUUUUAUUAAAUUCUACCAGAAAAA
Molecule: long non-coding RNA, 1910 nt
Organism: Strigops habroptila (Kakapo)
Lineage: Eukaryota; Metazoa; Chordata; Aves; Psittaciformes; Psittacidae
Source: Ensembl